CCCCGCUCAAGCACCUGCCGCAGGGGGAUCCAGGCCACUUGCCUUUCUGGCUGACUCGGCUGCAAAUCUUGGGACCUCCCAAUUUUGGUAAUUGAGUAGAAGGACUCAGUAAACUCAGGUGCGCACUGCACUCGGGGUACAAAGGGCAGCGGUGUGACCCGAGCCCACUGCCUUCUUGCUGUUUCCCCAAACUUAUUCAGGCUCCUUCUCUGGCCCCGAGCCGGGAAGUAACUCGCUCCAGUCCCCGGCCAGGGAGUGUUGGAGCCCAGAGACCUGAACCCAAGGGUGCGUUUCUCCCAGAUGUCUAUGUGGAGGGCGCUGUUCCAGCCCCAGGAGGGGCUACCUGUGCUAACGGGCUCUUCCCGCCCGCCCGCGAGGUCUGAGGGUGCUGGAGGGGCUGCAGGGCGGGAAGGCUCCUGAACGCCUUUCCCCGCUCCCCUCAGGUGCGGGGGCUGCCGUCGAUGAGGGGGUGUUCCCCGCCCCUCUCUCUCUCUCUUUCUGUGAAGGCUUCCCGACAACUUCAAAGGUGCUCCUCACCUGGGAGGAGUCCUGCUCCGUAAAGUCCAGGGAGUUACACAGUCCUGGGGCAACUGCCCCUGCAACUCAGGUGGGCACGAGAAGUCCGGGGACCCCGGAUGCGGGUCCCUCCUGCCUGGGCCCGGCGGCCGUGGGCUCUGUGUGGCCGUGUGCUCCCCGCCGCCUCGAGUCCAGUGAAGCUUUUGCUGCUCCUUGUCUGCGAGCUCCAGUCUGGCCUCGCCCGUGUCUCUGCGGUGACUGCUGCUGGGGAGCGAUCCGCCGGUGUGCCCUGGCUGUGGUGCCCACACGGCAUUGCCCGAGAGGAACCUUCCAGAAUCUGCCCCACGUGACGACGCCCACGGCACGUGGCUGGAUCGUAUCAUGGAAGCAACACUGGGAAUGCAUCUGCUGGGAUUCGAACGCACUGUGCCGUCUCCUUCCUAAACCCACCCACUCGCUUUGGGAAAAGUUUUAUUCAGCCUUUAGAGCUGCAACUUUACGAAGACAUGAACAUGCGAACUAUGUCUCGAGCAGAACCAAGCUUAUCCUAAGGACCCGCCGCUGUGGGGGACGCACUCCAAGUGGGCUCAGGAUGGGGACACGGAGGUGAACUUGUCCAUUUCCCCGUGGGAAGUAGAAAUUUGAGGGAUUUCAGAAAAGCCAGC
This 1181-nucleotide long non-coding RNA is filed under the name Microcebus murinus (gray mouse lemur). Its description in RNAcentral is "lncRNA (ENSMICG00000048443.1)". The record is from RNAcentral. Lineage: Eukaryota; Metazoa; Chordata; Mammalia; Primates; Cheirogaleidae.